CUCUUAAAACUCUUACGAGUUUAAUGCUCUGAUACAAAAAAAAAAACUAAUUUUUGAUCAACAAAAAGGACUUGACUUAAAGUGUACAAGGUCCUAGGAAUCAACCAAAGUUCUAUGGGACUUGUGUCUUUGAUGUUGACUUUGAUCUUGGUAGCUGGGAGGCCUAGACUUGGAGGUAGCAUGAUCUUGGUAGCUGGGAGGCCUAGACUUGGAGGUAGCAUGAACUUGGUAGCUGGGAGGCCUAGACUUGGAGGUAGCAUGAACUUUGUAGCAGGGAGGCCUAGACUUGGAGGUAGCAUGAACAUGGUAGCUGGGAGGCCUAGACUUGGAGGUAGCAUGAACUUUGUAGCAGGGAGGCCUAGACUUGGAGGUAGCAUAAACAUGGUAGCUGGGAGGCCUAGACUUGGAGGUAGCAUAAACAUGGUAGCUGGGAAGUCUAGCCUUGGUGGGAGCAGCAAUGGUGUUCACACUACCCAAUACCCUUUAGUAUUAUAAUAUUUUAAAACACACUUCUUAUUACCCAGAAUUUGUGGUUUUCCAUGUUGUUGUGCAUUCUGGACUGGUGGUUUUACUUUGGGUUUUCCAUCAUCAAUUAAUACUUGCUUGUAUGCUGGCUCAACUACCAUUUUCUGUGGGGUCUCACCUCUUGGACCAGUCAACACAUGGCCGUUCAGCAUCAGUGCUCGUCUUUCGUAAUCCUUAUUUUUAAAAAUUGCAAAGCCAUAUCUACGAUGACCUCUGCGUCUUCGUGGCAUUAUGAAUUUGAUUAAACCGCCGGAUUUUUUCAGAAGCUGGUUUACAGUCCUGUACCUGCACAAAGUGGGUACAUUGGCUACAAAAACUCCAUACCCUGUAGGGUUGGGGAUGGUGGGUUUGGGGAUGGUGAUGGGUUUGGGGAUGGUGAUGGGGUUGGGGAGGGUAUUGGGGUUGGGGAGGGGUGUUGAGCUACCAGCAUCAUCAGUGUGUAGAGGUACUAACUCACCACUCACCACUGUGUCACUGGUGCUGGUAUGUGUAAGUGACUUGAGAAGUCUGGUACGGAAGAAUCGCCAGGUGUAAGAUACAACACUCCUAACACUGUCACAACAACCCACAGAUGAACCAGCAUCACUUGGGAGGAUGAAUUAUCCUGGCAGGAUUCUUUC
This is a non-coding RNA of Cherax quadricarinatus, 1145 nucleotides long. Lineage: Eukaryota; Metazoa; Arthropoda; Malacostraca; Decapoda; Parastacidae. The record is from RefSeq and is a predicted model, not a curated record.